AGUAGGUUUUACACAUUUUGGGGCAACUUUGUCUUCUGUGCACACAUAAGACAAAGUUGCCCCAAAAUGCAUAAAACCUACUAACAUCUGU
This 91-nucleotide microRNA precursor is filed under the name Pelobates cultripes (western spadefoot toad). The record is from RNAcentral. Lineage: Eukaryota; Metazoa; Chordata; Amphibia; Anura; Pelobatidae.